UUGCUCAAAACAAAUGUUUCAUACUAUCCCUGUCUUAACUCAGUCCAUAGUAAGACAGGGACGCUUGGUCUCAAACAU
RNAcentral lists this small nucleolar RNA (78 nucleotides) under Notamacropus eugenii (tammar wallaby). RNAcentral describes it as "Small nucleolar RNA SNORA63 (ENSMEUG00000017991.1)". The record is from RNAcentral. Lineage: Eukaryota; Metazoa; Chordata; Mammalia; Diprotodontia; Macropodidae.